UACGUAGGGGGCAAGCGUUGUCCGGAAUCAUUGGGCGUAAAGCGCGCGUAGGCGGCCCGGUAAGUCCGCUGUGAAAGUCACAGGCUCAACCUUUGAAUGUCAGCGGAUACUGCCGGGCUAGAGUCCGGAAGAGGCGAGUGGAACUCCUGGUGUAGCGGUGGAAUGCGCAGAUAUCAGGAAGAACACCAACGGCGAAGGCAGCUCGCUGGGACGGAACUGACGCUAAGGCGCGAAAGCGUGGGGAGCGAACAGG
This 253-nucleotide ribosomal RNA is filed under the name uncultured bacterium. RNAcentral's name for it is "partial 16S ribosomal RNA". It matches the Rfam family "Bacterial small subunit ribosomal RNA", at positions 524 to 776 of the family's 1533-position model. The record is from RNAcentral.